ACGCGAAGAACCUUACCCAGGCUUGAACAGCGAGUGACAAACUACGAAAGUGGUCUUCCGCAAGGACACUCGUAGAGGUGCUGCAUGGCUGUCGUCAGCUCGUGUCGUGAGAUGUUGGGUUAAGUCCCGCAACGAGCGCAACCCUUGUCUUCUGUUGCCAUCAGGUCAAGCUGGGCACUCUGGAGAGACUGCCGGUGAUAAACCGGAGGAAGGUGGGGAUGACGUCAAGUCAGCAUGGCCUUUAUGUCUGGGGCUACACACGUGCUACAAUGGCCGGCACAAACCGUCGCGAGCCCGCAAGGGGGAGCUAAUCGGAGAAAGUCGGUCUCAGUUCGGAUCGUCGGCUGCAACUCGCCGGCGUGAAGUUGGAAUCGCUAGUAAUCGCGGAUCAGCACGCCGCGGUGAAUACGUUCCCGGGCCUUGUA
This 425-nucleotide ribosomal RNA is filed under the name uncultured Acidobacterium sp. Its description in RNAcentral is "bacterial SSU rRNA". It matches the Rfam family "Bacterial small subunit ribosomal RNA", at positions 959 to 1385 of the family's 1533-position model. Lineage: Bacteria; Pseudomonadati; Acidobacteriota; Terriglobia; Terriglobales; Acidobacteriaceae. The record is from RNAcentral.